UACGUAGGUGGCAAGCGUUGUCCGGAUUUAUUGGGUUUAAAGGGUGCGUAGGCGGCCCUGUAAGUCAGUGGUGAAAUACGGCAGCUCAACUGUCGAGGUGCCAUUGAUACUGCGGGGCUUGAGUGCUGAUGAGGGAGGCGGAAUUGACGGUGUAGCGGUGAAAUGCUUAGAUAUCGUCAAGAACACCGAUAGCGAAGGCAGCUUGCCAAGCAGCAACUGACGCUGAGGCACGAAAGUGCGGGGAUCAAACAGG
This 253-nucleotide ribosomal RNA is filed under the name uncultured bacterium. Its description in RNAcentral is "partial 16S ribosomal RNA". It matches the Rfam family "Bacterial small subunit ribosomal RNA", at positions 524 to 776 of the family's 1533-position model. The record is from RNAcentral.